AAAGAAGACUCGGUGCCUGCCAAGGACAUGCUUGGCGAGGGAAAGUCUGUAAAGGCAAGUUGAGAGGGUGGAGGGGCUUCACCAAAUAGGAACAGGACGGGCUGUAAUGUAUCAACUUCCUCCUCCACCCUGAACCGCCUCGCUUGGAAUUCCUUAUCUAAUCAACUGGAGACUUGGAUCUUAACGGCCAAACUAUAAAACUGGGGUGUUCUAUACACAUGCUCUGUGUGCAUGUACACCUGCAUGCCAGGAGAGGGCAUUACAUCCCUUUAUAGACAGUCAUGAGGCACCAUGUGGUUGCUGGGAAUUGAACUUGGGACCUCUGGAAGAACAGCCAGUGCUCUUAACCGCUGAGCCAUCUCACCUGCCCCCAUUGUAACUAUUUAGUACAUUUUUACCUGCAUAUUGAAAAUGUUUAGGGGCCUUUUACACAUAGAGUCCAUGAGGCAUCCCCAUUCACCCACCAGACUCAGCGGAAUGUGCCGUGAGUGCUGAGACUGAGUUCCUAUGGUAGUUACCAGGGUGACAAUCAGAAGCAAAACAAACAUUCCUGCCGGGAGUAGGAAUGUAGCUAGCUAUGCAAACAGAAAGUACAGCCCAUGGAAGAUGGUUCUGAAGGCAGCCGCCCAAAGGAGAUGAGACCACAAGAGCUGGUAAGACUUUCAACCAGAACCCAGCCUCGAUCCCUCCAUGGAAGAUGAGCUAGGUCACCACUGACCUGGCAUGAAUAGGAGCCAGUCAGCAAGAGGGGCACCUGGAAGAGUGCUGGAGAAGGAAAAUGGUUACGUCUAAAGCUCUUUCCCAUCACGUUUGGCACCCUGAAUGAUCUGCUGAAACAGAAAUCCAUUUCUUUUUUAUUAUUGGAGAAUUCAUUUGUAAUCAUCAGUUUGGUUUAAAGAACACAGCAUGGAAGACAGAAUUUACAUCGACAUCACAAGGCUGCUGACUUGAGGAUGCUUGGAAUGAAGAACAGCUGAAGUGUUCCGUAUAACAGACUCACGGGAAGAUCUGCCCUAGACACUUCCUGCUGUGUACCCUGACCCACCCUACUCCCAAGAAAGACAAGCCGCCACAAAGUACCAGGUUAGAGUAUAAUCACCGAGUUCCCUCUGUGCAACCACCCAACUUCUAGGAAAGAGAGAGCAAGGAGAGAGAGACUGGACUUUUGAUCGAAGACUCAAUGGAAUGGGGGCAGUGUGUGGGUCCACAUGAUUUCUCAAGUCUUCCUUCUGCACAGUCGUUAGACUAACGCCCAGUUUAUAAACAUGCACAGUGCUGCCCCUUUUAAAUUGAGGAGAGAAAAGAAAGAAAGACAGAAAAACCACACAAAUACUGCAAAGUAGAAAAAUACAAAGAAAAAAAAAGCUACUUUCGGUUUUGGCAACAUUAAAAAGGAUGAGACAUAGAGCAGAGGUGGCCCUGGCCCGGUCAUCAGGAAAGCUCAGCAAGUCAGCAGACCUGCCAAACAUCAAAGCUCCCUGAGGAAAAGCUCAGCUUUCAGGUCUGGGAGAGUUCUUACUGGAAUGUGACCUAUCACUGCCUGACAGAUCUGACAUGGAAUGUCUCCAAAUGGCAGUGUCUCCCUCUCUGCCCUCCCUGGCUGGGAGUGCGCCCAGGAGGAGCAGCCACCUUCCGUGGAGGUGGGCGAGCCUCGGGCAGCCAUCUUCGCCAGCUGCUGCUCCAACUUGGAAAUGCACUCGUCUUGACUGCAGCCAGCUUGCCGUCCAGAAUGUUCUUCUUGACCACCUUGAAAUCCCCGUUCUUGCCUGGAAUGUACCCGUGCUUCAACGAUAUGAGGAUGGGGUCUGUCUGCAUUCUUCCCCCUCAAACCACUCCUCGGCCUCAAGGGCAACUUCCGGCCCCGCUGUGUCAGGGUACAGGUCGUCUUGGAAGAGGUCAGACUUCCUGGGGACCGUCAUGAUAAUGGGCUCGUACUAUCUCUCAUGAAGCUUGAAGAAUCUGGCAAUCUCACACUUGUUGACGUCAAGGCCCCGCUUGGGCAUGUAGCCCAUCCCUCACUGAGGCUCCUUGCCGCUGAAUGUGUGGAGGUAGUGGACAUAUGGGAAUUCAUCCGCGGACACUGCUGUCACCCUUCCCACAUAAGUAGAUGAUGCUGGUGUCUGGGUCGUAGAAGGAGAGCAGCACUCCAUUGCUAGUGUCCAUUUCAUGGAGAGCAUUGGUUUCUGCAUGUUUUUUUGGGUUCCAGAGCGUCAACUGCCGCUCGCUCAUGCGGCUAAAGCCAGUAGUGAAUACGUUGCCGUCCGCCAGGAAGAUGGCACGCAUAGGCCUGGCUCCUUCGUGUGCUUUCUCCUUCUCCACCGCCAUCUCCUGUUUCCUGGGGUCAAUGACUCUCAUUUUCUUGUCUUUGGAUGCUGUGCAGAUGAGACUACCGUUACAGCUCCAGCUCUCGUUGUAAAUCAUGUCUGAAUGCAUAUCAUCCAAGUUGAUGAGGGCUUCCCCUGUCCCCACGUUCCAGAUGAUAAUGACAUUAUCACAGCCUGCACUGAGAAGCACAAUGUGGGCCGUCGGGUGCCAGGCCACGAUGCCAACUCUUUUUGAGUGGCCUUCUAGAAUCACCACAGGCUCAGUCAGGGAAAGGGUCAGUCCAUUUUCUGGGAUCUGCCAAACCAUAACAAUGCAGGCCUCUGAGCCGCUGGCGAUAACCUGAUCGUUAUGUGGACACCAGUCUAUGUCCAGCACUGGUCCUGUGUGGCCACACACUGUAGGGUAGGAUUUGUCAAUUUGUCCCGUCUUGUGCAGAGGGAGCAUCAGGAAGGCCCCUCCCCUACUUGCUUCUAUGAUGAUGGCCACGAAUCUGGGGUUGAUGGCGCAAAAGGAACUGUCCCAGGUGACUCGGGAGACGCGGAUGUCAUCAUAGCACUGAUCAUUCUUCACCGCCUGUCCAAAGACAUGCCGGAACUUGCUCUGCCGCACCACUCGCCGCAUCGUGUCAGAGCCCGGGUGCCUGAGGCGCCACCGAAGUCCCUGCUGCAAAGCCCCGAGAAGCCUCCAUCCAUCCGCUGCCGCCUCCCGCCUGGCACUGAGUGCCGCGCGGGGGAGGGGCGCGGCAACCGCUGCCCAGUCCUUCGCGCAAGCGUGCAGGCCCUGCCCCCCUCAAAUCUUUGAAUUGGGUCAACAGACACUAACAUUAUCCAAAUGUAAUGGUUCUGAAAUAAAACACUGUAAGAUCAA
RNAcentral lists this long non-coding RNA (3192 nucleotides) under Mus musculus (house mouse). RNAcentral describes it as "RIKEN cDNA 2010001K21 gene". Lineage: Eukaryota; Metazoa; Chordata; Mammalia; Rodentia; Muridae. The record is from RNAcentral.